UAUUAGGAUGAGGUAAUUUGCGAUUGAUUCUGCCCGAUGGUCCUCUUUCGCCGGAGUGGCUAAAUCGGGCGGUUAGCUGAUAUUCAAUUUCUUACAUAUUCUGAGC
Molecule: small nucleolar RNA, 106 nt
Filed under: Neonectria ditissima
Lineage: Eukaryota; Fungi; Ascomycota; Sordariomycetes; Hypocreales; Nectriaceae
Description: A. fumigatus snoRNA Afu_514
Rfam family: A. fumigatus snoRNA Afu_514
Source: Rfam by way of RNAcentral